Molecule: unclassified non-coding RNA, 329 nt
Filed under: soil metagenome
Description: partial contains 5.8S ribosomal RNA, internal transcribed spacer 2, and large subunit ribosomal RNA
Rfam family: 5.8S ribosomal RNA (bases 1-120)
Source: RNAcentral
GAUGAAGAACGUAGCGAAAUGCGAUAACUAAUGUGAAUUGCAGAAUUCAGUGAAUCAUCGAAUCUUUGAACGCACAUUGCGCCCCCUGGUAUUCCGGGGGGCAUGCCUGUCCGAGCGUCAUUACAACCCUCAAGCUCAGCUUGGUAUUGGGCCCCGCCGCUCCGGCGGGCCCUAAAGUCAGUGGCGGUGCCGUCCGGCUCCGAGCGUAGUAAUUCUUCUCGCUCUGGAGGUCCGGUCGUGUGCUCGCCAGCAACCCCCAAUUUUUUUCAGGUUGACCUCGGAUCAGGUAGGGAUACCCGCUGAACUUAAGCAUAUCAAUAAGCGGAGGA